AGUGAACGCUGGCGGUAGGCCUAACACAUGCAAGUCGAACGGCAGCACAGUAAGAGCUUGCUCUUACGGGUGGCGAGUGGCGGACGGGUGCGGAAUACAUCGGAAUCUACUUUUUCGUGGGGGAUAACGUAGGGAAACUUACGCUAAUACCGCAUACGACCUACGGGUGAAAGCAGGGGAUCUUCGGACCUUGCGCGUUUGAAUGAGCCGAUGUCGGAUUAGCUAGUUGGCGGGGUAAAGGCCCACCAAGGCGACGAUCCGUAGCUGGUCUGAGAGGAUGAUCAGCCACACUGGAACUGAGACACGGUCCAGACUCCUACGGGAGGCAGCAGUGGGGAAUAUUGGACAAUGGGCGCAAGCCUGAUCCAGCCAUACCGCGUGGGUGAAGAAGGCCUUCGGGUUGUAAAGCCCUUUUGUUGGGAAAGAAAAGCAGCAGGUUAAUACCCCGCUGUUCUGACGGUACCCAAAGAAUAAGCACCGGCUAACUUCGUG
RNAcentral lists this ribosomal RNA (492 nucleotides) under uncultured bacterium. Its description in RNAcentral is "partial 16S ribosomal RNA". It matches the Rfam family "Bacterial small subunit ribosomal RNA", at positions 29 to 507 of the family's 1533-position model. The record is from RNAcentral.